AUUGAACGCUGGCGGCAGGCCUAACACAUGCAAGUCGAACGGUAACAGGAAACAGCUUGCUGUUUCGCUGACGAGUGGCGGACGGGUGAGUAAUGUCUGGGAAACUGCCUGAUGGAGGGGGAUAACUACUGGAAACGGUAGCUAAUACCGCAUAACGUCGCAAGACCAAAGAGGGGGACCUUCGGGCCUCUUGCCAUCGGAUGUGCCCAGAUGGGAUUAGCUAGUAGGUGGGGUAACGGCUCACCUAGGCGACGAUCCCUAGCUGGUCCGAGAGGAUGACCAGCCACACUGGAACUGAGACACGGUCCAGACUCCUACGGGAGGCAGCAGUGGGGAAUAUUGCACAAUGGGCGCAAGCCUGAUGCAGCCAUGCCGCGUGUAUGAAGAAGGCCUUCGGGUUGUAAAGUACUUUCAGCGGGGAGGAAGGGAGUAAAGUUAAUACCUUUGCUCAUUGACGUUACCCGCAGAAGAAGCACCGGCUAACUCCGUG
This 490-nucleotide ribosomal RNA is filed under the name uncultured bacterium. RNAcentral's name for it is "partial 16S ribosomal RNA". It matches the Rfam family "Bacterial small subunit ribosomal RNA", at positions 30 to 507 of the family's 1533-position model. The record is from RNAcentral.